UCGCCUGUUUAUCAAAAACAUGGUUUCUUGGAAGAAUAUAGGAGAUCUGGCCUGCCCACUGAAUGAAGUUUUGAAGGGCCGCAGUAUUUUGACUGUGCAAAGGUAGCAUAAUCAUUAGUCUUUUAAUUAAGGGCUGGAAUGAAUGGUUGAACAAGGUAAAAACUGUCUGAUGUAAAUUGAUUGAAAUUGUAUUUUAAGUAAAAAGGCUUAAAUAUUAUUAAGGGACGAGAAGACCCUAUAGAGUUUAAUAUAUGAAGUGUUAAUUGAGUUAAAAAUUAAUUUUUGAUUAUAAUGAAGUGUAUUUAAUUGGGGUGAUUAAAAGAUAAGGAAAACUCUUUUUUAAAAUAAAUAUUUUAAAUAAUUUUUUGAUCCGCGCAGAGUGAUUAGAAGAUUAAAUUACCUUAGGGAUAACAGCAUAAUUCUUUUUGAGAGUUCAUAUUGAAAAAAGAGAUUGUGACCUCGAUGUUGGAUUAAGGUAAAUUUUGGGUGUAGAUGUUCAAAAAUUAAGUCUGUUCGACUUUUAAAACCUUACAUGAUCUGAGUUCAAACCGGAGA
RNAcentral lists this ribosomal RNA (555 nucleotides) under Parathespis humbertiana. RNAcentral's name for it is "partial 16S ribosomal RNA". It matches the Rfam family "Bacterial large subunit ribosomal RNA", at positions 1796 to 2622 of the family's 2925-position model. The record is from RNAcentral. Lineage: Eukaryota; Metazoa; Arthropoda; Insecta; Mantodea; Thespidae.